This 301-nucleotide ribosomal RNA is filed under the name uncultured bacterium. RNAcentral's name for it is "partial 16S ribosomal RNA". It matches the Rfam family "Bacterial small subunit ribosomal RNA", at positions 509 to 807 of the family's 1533-position model. The record is from RNAcentral.
CAGUCGCCGCGGUAAUACGUAGGUGGCAAGCGUUGUCCGGAAUUAUUGAGCGUAAAGGGCUCGCAGGCGGUUUCUUAAGUCUGAUGUGAAAGCCCCCGGCUCAACCGGGGAGGGUCAUUGGAAACUGGGAAACUUGAGUGCAGAAGAGGAGAGUGGAAUUCCACGUGUAGCGGUGAAAUGCGUAGAGAUGUGGAGGAACACCAGUGGCGAAGGCGACUCUCUGGUCUGUAACUGACGCUGAGGAGCGAAAGCGUGGGGAGCGAACAGGAUUAGAUACCCCAGUAGUCCCUGUCUCUUAUAC